Molecule: long non-coding RNA, 335 nt
Organism: Daktulosphaira vitifoliae (grape phylloxera)
Lineage: Eukaryota; Metazoa; Arthropoda; Insecta; Hemiptera; Phylloxeridae
Exons: 3
Source: RefSeq, a predicted model, not a curated record
GAACUGGUUUUCAUUAACGUAUAAGAACAAGUUUUAAGAAUGAUGAAUAAUGACCUGCUGUAUAGUUUAUACAAAGAAAUACGAAGGUCACGUAAAUAUUCUAUGAAUACCAAAAUUAUAGCUGAAAGAUUUAAAGACAAACCAAUGUCUCCAGCCGAAUCUGUAAUAUAUUGGACUGGAUAUGUUAUUUGGCAUAAAGGCAACAAUAACCUGUAUUAAUGGCCCAUAAAUUAUUAUCAGUAUUUAUUUUGCUAUUGUACAAGACAGAUAUGAUAACAAGAAUUAUCUAUAAAAACUUUUUUAUAUAACAUUAUAAAGAAAUAAGGUCUACUGUA